AAGUCGUAACAAGGUUUCCGUAGGUGAACCUGCGGAAGGAUCAUUAUCGAGUUUUGAACGGGUUGUAGCUGGCCUUUAACGAGGCAUGUGCACACCUGGCUCAUCCACUCUCAACCUCUGUGCACUUUAUGUAAGAAAACGGUGUAAGCCAGCUAUUUAAUAGUUGGUAACAAGCCUUUCUUAUGUUUACUACAAACGCUUCAGUUAUAGAAUGUUUACUGUGUAUAACACAAUUAUAUACAACUUUCAGCAACGGAUCUCUUGGCUCUC
Molecule: unclassified non-coding RNA, 270 nt
Filed under: Irpex laceratus
Lineage: Eukaryota; Fungi; Basidiomycota; Agaricomycetes; Polyporales; Irpicaceae
Description: Emmia lacerata partial internal transcribed spacer region
Rfam family: Eukaryotic small subunit ribosomal RNA (bases 1-46)
Source: RNAcentral